CAACUGUAGUAAAUGAUCGCGGCUCACCAUAAUUUUUUAUGGCGGGGUGAGGAAAGUCCGGGCUUCACAGGGCAGGAUGCCGGAUAACGUCCGGUGGAGGCGACUCCAAGGCAAGUGCAACAGAAAUAUACCGCCGGUGCCCCUGCACUGCAGGGAUUCCGGUAAGGGUGGAAGGGUGGUGUAAGAGACCACCGCCUCCACGGUAACGGGGAGGGCACAUGUAAACCCCAUCCGAAGCAAGACCAAAUAGGAAACAACAGGCUUGCCCGGUCUGUUUCCAGGUAGGUCGCUUGAGGCUGCUGGCAACAGCAGUCCUAGAUAGAUGAUCAUUCGUGCCGCCAGAGACUGGCGGUGCUGACAUAA
Molecule: RNase P RNA, 363 nt
Filed under: Lachnospiraceae bacterium
Lineage: Bacteria; Bacillati; Bacillota; Clostridia; Lachnospirales; Lachnospiraceae
Description: partial RNase P RNA component class A
Rfam family: Bacterial RNase P class A
About the family: Ribonuclease P (RNase P) is a ubiquitous endoribonuclease, found in archaea, bacteria and eukarya as well as chloroplasts and mitochondria. Its best characterised activity is the generation of mature 5'-ends of tRNAs by cleaving the 5'-leader elements of precursor-tRNAs. Cellular RNase Ps are ribonucleoproteins.
Source: RNAcentral